AGCAGCCGCGGUAAUUCCAGCUCCAAUAGCGUAUAUUAAAGUUGUUGCAGUUAAAAAGCUCGUAGUUGAAUUUCGGAAUCAAUAUGUCGGUCGUGCCUUCGGUACGUACUGGUAUCAUUGGUUUCUCCUUUCUGACGAACCAUGAUGUCAUUAAUUUGGUGUUAUGGGGAGUUAGGACUGUUACUUUGAAAAAUUAGAGUGUUUAAAGCAGGCUUUAGCUUGAAUACAUUAGCAUGGAAUAAUGAAAUAGGACGUUCGAACCUAUUUUGUUGGUUUCUAGGAUCAACGUAAUGAUUAAUAGGGAUAGUUGGGGGCAUUAGUAUUCAAUUGUCAGAGGUGAAAUUCUUGGAUUUAUUGAAGACUAACUACUGCGAAAGCAUUUGCCAAGGAUGUUUUCAUUAAUCAAGAGCGAAAGUUAGGGGAUCGAAGACGAUCAGAUACCGUCGUAGUCUUAACCAUAAACUAUGCCGACUAGGGAUCGGAUGAUGUUAAUUUUUAAUGACUCAUUCGGCGCCUUACG
RNAcentral lists this ribosomal RNA (520 nucleotides) under uncultured Glomus. Its description in RNAcentral is "SSU rRNA". It matches the Rfam family "Eukaryotic small subunit ribosomal RNA", at positions 569 to 1092 of the family's 1831-position model. The record is from RNAcentral. Lineage: Eukaryota; Fungi; Glomeromycota; Glomeromycetes; Glomerales; Glomeraceae.